GUUAUCAUUUUCUUCUCUAAUCACUGGCUGUCUCUUUCAAUGUUUGUUUUUGUAAUAUGUUUGUUUGGCUUUUAAUUGCAGGUUUUUUUUUUUGCCAUGUUUUUAUUCAUUGGUUUAAAUAAUAUGUAUUCUCCGAGAGGCAGCAAUGCUUAUGGUGCCCAAUCUGCCUAUGCUCAAUAUGUAAGAACUUUCUUUUACGUGUUGCUCACUGCAAAGUAAAAAUUGCAGCUUUUCUUGUAAUUAGGCCAGAUUAAUAUUUUUCACCGUCUUUCGAUUUUGAUGACAUAUGAAUGACUGUGAAAAUUGCUGUUCUUGGGCAAUUUCUUUCCGUGUAUGUUAGUGUGUGUUUGUUAUUGCGAUGAGGUGAUUUUCAAAAUUGAUUUUCAAUUGAAAAUGCAUUAAAAUGAUUUAUUAUUUUUAUUUUUGAAAUCAUCACAUCAAAACCAUUAGAAAUUACUUCAAAAAGCAUCAAUUUGAUGCUUUUGAGGUGAAAAUCAAUUUGAAAAGCAGAAGCAAACGCAAUGCCAAAGCUUGAUUAGUUGAUAAUUAUCCAUGCUGUGUUCUGGUGUAAUUUUUUUCUUCCUGUGUGAGUGGUCGUGGAGUAAAGGUCUCAUUUUUAAAUUUGAAAUCUCGUCUUCUCGCUAUUUGUUUUUCUUUUUUCACAACUGGGAGCUGCUUAUUCUAGGAGUUUUCCUUUGUAAUUCGAGCAUAUUGUUCUUUCUUACUGCUUGUUAAUUUUGAUUGUACGCAAAUCAGUAAAAUUAUUGUAGCUUUUCUUGUAAUUUGGACAAUCACUCUAAUGUGUCUCAUGCUUUGAUUGAUUCGGGAUAUACGUGUCUCAUGCUUUGAUUGAUUCGGGAUAUACGUGUCGUUUUUUUAAUUGAAAUCUGGUUAGCUGGGAAUGACCUAUUCUGGGAGCUCUGUUGGGGGGCAUGAUGGGGGGCUCUCAACAUUCAUUGGCCUCUUGGCAUUCAUCGAUUCUAGGUGGUCCUCAGGAGGCUGAUGUUGGUGGAUACAGAGAUUAUGCUUCAGCCACAUCACAUUAUGAGGGCCAACACAGAGCUGUUUAUGGCUCAGCUUCCAUGAGUGGUGCUCAACAGGGAAUUCUUACAGAAUCACUGGGCAAAGACUUGAAUGAUCAUGUAUUUACCCUAGUGGAAGGCAUUGUCGAUGCUGGCAAAAACAGUGGCAAUACUGGUAGUUGUGAGGAGUUGUUAGGAGGUGAUGAGGAGGGAGAGAGAUCUGUAGCCUCUGUUGAGGACCAACGCAAGGAAAUGACCAUCUACGAGAAGUUUAUAAUGGGCAUUGGAUCGCAUUCACAAUACUCUCAAGGUGCGAAUGGUUUAAAAUUUUAAACAUGCCCCAUUACUUUCGCUGGAUAUAUUUGAACCAAAUCGCUCCAAACAUCAUGUUGCUCCAGAUGUUUUGCGUAGCUGAUCCUCCUUACGACAAGUCACUCCAACAAUUGCAAAGCUUUUUAUCAGGUCUAGUUUCUGAAGAGAAGUUAGAACUAAGGGAUGGGAUGUAUUUCUUGAAGAAGUAAAAGCUGGCAUUCUUGUAAUUCACCCAUCAACUCUUGAAAAAUGUACCGGAAGAUCUUGAUAUAGCUUAACAGAGGGAGGUUUGGAACAGAAAAUGCAGCUUUAUGAAGAUGGAGAUCUCUGUAGCAAGACUGUCUCCCUUUCAAUUAUCAGCAAUCCCAACUAUCCUCUUGAAUCAUAUCCGACUCCCGUUAUGCCAAGUACUCCUGCUAUGCACGUCGGGUGAUUUCUAGGAGCUUUCCAUACAUUGAUUACAGGACAGUAAACGAAAGAUGAAAACAUUGAGUUACAAUUUCCCAAAAAAAUUUAUAAGGGUGUCCUUUCGUGGCUUCCUUUAUUAAUUAAAACCAUUCCCCUCGCUGUCACCGUUAAUUAAUUAAA
This is an RNA transcript of Populus trichocarpa (black cottonwood), 1922 nucleotides long. It is a transcript of the gene named anaphase-promoting complex subunit 2, with no coding region annotated. The record is from RefSeq and is a predicted model, not a curated record. The transcript has 4 exons. NCBI's taxonomy places the organism in Eukaryota, Viridiplantae, Streptophyta, Magnoliopsida, Malpighiales, Salicaceae.